RNAcentral lists this ribosomal RNA (686 nucleotides) under Syphacia frederici. Its description in RNAcentral is "partial large subunit ribosomal RNA". It matches the Rfam family "Eukaryotic large subunit ribosomal RNA", at positions 104 to 612 of the family's 3401-position model. The record is from RNAcentral. Lineage: Eukaryota; Metazoa; Nematoda; Chromadorea; Rhabditida; Oxyuridae.
AAGCUCAACGCUGAAUUACACGGUAUAACUACCGUCGUGAACUGUGGCGUAUAGGUGUAACUGCAUCGACGGCUAUCCGCACACUCAAAGUUCCCUUGAGUGGGGCUACUUCCACAGAAGGUGCAAGACCUGUAUGAGUGGCUGGUGGUUGCCGAUAUUGGUUACUGCUUCAGAGUCGAGUUGCCUGGGAACGCAGCUCAAAGUCGGUGGUAAACCUCAUCUAAAGCUAAAUAUGACUUCGAGACCGAUAGCGAACAAGUACCGUGAGGGAAAGUUGCAAAGAACUUCGAAGGGAGAGUUCAAAAGGACGUGAAACCGCUAGGGGGGAAGCGGAUAGAGUUAACAGCAUGAUAACGGCAUUCAGCCGAUGGACGCAACGGGCAGCAUGCAUAGUGUUCCGGAGCAAGCCGGCGCUUGUAUGUUUGCAUCGUACGUGCGAUCGGUGCUUUUGCCGUUAUUGGCGCGCUGAGGCACUCAGGGCGAUGUGUUGCACGGUAUCGGCAGAGGACUGUGCUGCUCGUCAGUGCAGAACCCUACGAUUCUGUUAAGGCAUAUUCGCUGUGAGCGCAUGCUAUUUGGGCUCGACCCGCUACAGUGCAUAAGCGAAGCUGUGGUCGUAUUGGCUGUUGCCAGUGGCUUUGUCAUUGCGUUUCUAGUCCGAGUAUGGCCAUGGUUGCGUUAGAUGC